This 480-nucleotide ribosomal RNA is filed under the name uncultured bacterium. RNAcentral describes it as "partial 16S ribosomal RNA". It matches the Rfam family "Bacterial small subunit ribosomal RNA", at positions 28 to 523 of the family's 1533-position model. The record is from RNAcentral.
GACGAACGCUGGCGGCGUGCUUAACACAUGCAAGUCGAACGGUAAGGCCCUUCGGGGUACACGAGUGGCGAACGGGUGAGUAACACGUGGGUGAUCUGCCCUGCACUUCGGGAUAAGCCUGGGAAACUGGGUCUAAUACCGGAUAGGACCACUGCCUGCAUGGGUGGUGGUGGAAAGCUUUUGCGGUGUGGGAUGGGCCCGCGGCCUAUCAGCUUGUUGGUGGGGUGAUGGCCUACCAAGGCGACGACGGGUAGCCGGCCUGAGAGGGUGACCGGCCACACUGGGACUGAGAUACGGCCCAGACUCCUACGGGAGGCAGCAGUGGGGAAUAUUGCACAAUGGGCGCAAGCCUGAUGCAGCAACGCCGCGUGCGGGAUGACGGCCUUCGGGUUGUAAACCGCUUUUAGAAGGUAAGAAGCCUUCGGGUGACGGUACCUGCAGAAAAAGGACCGGCUAACUACGUGCCAGCCGCCGCAGUAA